GAAAUGCGAUAAUUAAUGUGAAUUGCAGAAUUCAGUGAAUCAUCGAGUCUUUGAACGCACAUUGCGCCCCCUGGUAUUCCGGGGGGCAUGCCUGUCCGAGCGUCAUUGCUGCCCUCAAGCACGGCUUGUGUGUUGGGCUUCCGUCCCUGGCAACGGGGACGGGCCCAAAAGCCAGUGGCGGCACCAUGUCUGGUCCUCGAGCGUAUGGGGCUUUGUCACCCGCUCCCGUAGGUCCAGCUGGCAGCUAGCCUCGCAACCAAUCUUUUUAACCAGGUUGACCUCGGAUCAGGUAGGGAUACCCGCUGAACUUAAGC
RNAcentral lists this unclassified non-coding RNA (314 nucleotides) under plant metagenome. RNAcentral's name for it is "partial contains 5.8S ribosomal RNA, internal transcribed spacer 2, and large subunit ribosomal RNA". The stretch from base 1 to 105 matches the Rfam family "5.8S ribosomal RNA", at positions 50 to 154 of the family's 154-position model. The record is from RNAcentral.